AAGAGUUCGUAGGUGGUUGAAAAAGUUGGUGGUGAAAUCCCAGAGCUUAACUCUGGAACUGCCAUCAAAACUUUUCAGCUAGAGUUUGAUAGAGGAAAGCAGAAUUUCUAGUGUAGAGGUGAAAUUCGUAGAUAUUAGAAAGAAUACCAAUUGCGAAGGCAGUUUUCUGGAUCAUUACUGACACUGAGGAACGAAAGCAUGGGUAGCGAAGAGGAUUAGAUACCCUCGUAGUCCAUGCCGUAAACGAUGUGUGUUAGACGUUGGAAAUUUAUUUUCAGUGUCGCAGCGAAAGCGAUAAACACACCGCCUGGGGAGUACGACCGCAAGGUUAAAACUCAAAUGAAUUGACGGGGACCCGCACAAGUAGUGGAGCAUGUGGUUUAAUUCGAAGAUACGCGCAGAACCUUACCAACACUUGACAUGUUCGUCGCGACUCUAAGAGAUUAGAGUUUUCGGUUCGGCCGGACGAAACACAGGUGCUGCAUGGCUGUCGUCAGCUCGUGUCGUGAGAUGUUGGGCUAAGUCCCGCAACGAGCGCAACCCUCACUUUUAGUUGCCAUCAUUAAGUUGGGCACUCUGAAAGAACUGCCAGUGAUAAGCUGGAGGAAGGUGGGGAUGACGUCAAGUCCUCAUGGCCCUUACGUGUUGGGCUACACACGUGCUACAAUGGUAUCUACAACAGGAAGCAAGACUGCGAAGUUAAGCAAAUCCCUAAAAGAUACCUCAGUUCGGAUU
This 735-nucleotide ribosomal RNA is filed under the name uncultured bacterium. Its description in RNAcentral is "bacterial SSU rRNA". It matches the Rfam family "Bacterial small subunit ribosomal RNA", at positions 563 to 1299 of the family's 1533-position model. The record is from RNAcentral.